AUCAUGGAGAGUUUGAUCCUGGCUCAGGACGAACGCUGGCGGCGUGCCUAACACAUGCAAGUCGAACGGAGAGAUACGAGAGCUUGCUCUUGUAAAUCUUAGUGGCAAACGGGUGAGUAACGCGUAAACAACCUGCCCAACGGAUGGGGACAACAGACGGAAACGACUGCUAAUACCCAAUAGACUCCGGUUUCGCAUGAAACCGACAGGAAAGGUGGCCUCUCGAAGAAGCUACCGCCGCAGGAGGGGUUUGCGUUUGAUUAGUUAGUUGGUGGGGUAACGGCCUACCAAGACGAUGAUCAAUAGCCGGUCUGAGAGGAUGAACGGCCACACUGGAACUGAGACACGGUCCAGACUCCUACGGGAGGCAGCAGUGGGGAAUCUUCCGCAAUGGACGAAAGUCUGACGGAGCAACGCCGCGUGAGUGAAGAAGGCCUUCGGGUUGUAAAGCUCUGUUAUUCGGGAAGAACGAUUCGUUUGUAAAUAAUGAACGGAAGUGACGGUACCGAAAGAGAAAGCCACGGCUAACUACGUGCCAGCAGCCGCGGUAAUACGUAGGUGGCAAGCGUUGUCCGGAAUUAUUGGGCGUAAAGAGCGCGUAGGCGGUAUGAUAAGUCUGUCUUAGAAGUGCGGGGCUUAACCCCGUGAGGGGACAGAGACUGUCAUACUAGAGUCUCGGAGAGGAAAGCGGAAUUCCUAGUGUAGCGGUGAAAUGCGUAGAGAUUAGGAAGAACACCGGUGGCGAAGGCGGCUUUCUGGACGAGCACUGACGCUGAGGCGCGAAAGCGUGGGGAGCGAACAGGAUUAGAUACCCUGGUAGUCCACGCCGUAAACGAUGGGUACUAGGUGUAGGAGGUAUCGACCCCUUCUGUGCCGGAGUUAACGCAAUAAGUACCCCGCCUGGGGAGUACGGUCGCAAGAUUAAAACUCAAAGGAAUUGACGGGGGCCCGCACAAGCGGUGGAGUAUGUGGUUUAAUUCGACGCAACGCGAAGAACCUUACCAGGUCUUGACAUUGAUCG
This 1021-nucleotide ribosomal RNA is filed under the name Clostridioides difficile. RNAcentral's name for it is "bacterial SSU rRNA". It matches the Rfam family "Bacterial small subunit ribosomal RNA", at positions 1 to 993 of the family's 1533-position model. Lineage: Bacteria; Bacillati; Bacillota; Clostridia; Peptostreptococcales; Peptostreptococcaceae. The record is from RNAcentral.